AAACAAGACGGAACAUAAGUCAACAAUGCUUCAGGUUAUAUGCGACAGAAACACCAAGAAAAUAUUAAAGUAUUUCUCCUUUUACAAAUAUGACAGUUCUAUUUUUAUGAAAACUUAAUUCAAAGCAAGGCCACGUGAUGGCUUCUUCGAUGGUUUAUAGAUGUAACGUCACACUACGUCGUCACGGUGACUCCACUGUUUAACAUUUGAUUCAAGACGGGGGGGGGGGUUAAAUCAAAUUUAAAAAAGGCAGGGAAAUGCGCUUGCGUACACAACAGGGUGUUCAGGGAACCACCGUUUCUGUUGGGAAAACAAUCCCUUUUGCUACGUUUAGUCUGCGCUGAACUCAGCCGGGGAAAAAACGUAUUGCUAAAACAUGUUUAUGUAAUCAAAUCAUUCGGGAAAUAAUUCACACUUACGUAUAAAUAAACUGCGAAGAAUGAAGAGAAGAGCAGCAAAUGUACCUUGCCUGGCGAGACAACAGACCCUUUGGAGGUUCUAUGCAGCAGUGGAAGAUUUACUCAAACAGCAUGAAGGCAGGAUUAGGGAUACGCAGGAGGAGCGCUUCAGUCAGGAAUUAGCGUCAUGUGGUCGGCUGGAGACGAGCAUGCAAGGUAUCUUCUGAGACAGGCUUGGACACUUACUGCUCCAUUUGUCUACUUAGUGAUCAAAUACUGAGGUUGAUGGUUAUUUCUCUGUCAUUUGUGGUUUAUGUGAUAUGUGUUCAUCUGUGAGCAUUUCCGUGUUGUGAAACUGUGUGAAUUUCAGAGAUCAAAACACCCUUUGGACAUCCA
This is a long non-coding RNA of Micropterus salmoides (largemouth bass), 794 nucleotides long. RefSeq lists it as uncharacterized. The record is from RefSeq and is a predicted model, not a curated record. The transcript has 3 exons. Lineage: Eukaryota; Metazoa; Chordata; Actinopteri; Centrarchiformes; Centrarchidae.